Molecule: transfer RNA, 74 nt
Filed under: Tupiella akineta
Lineage: Eukaryota; Viridiplantae; Chlorophyta; Ulvophyceae; Ulotrichales; Tupiellaceae
Description: tRNA-Trp
Rfam family: tRNA
About the family: Transfer RNA (tRNA) molecules are approximately 80 nucleotides in length.
Source: RNAcentral
AAGAGCGUAGCUCAACUGGUUAGAGCGUCGUAUUCCAAAUACGAAGGUUGUCGAAUCAUUCUCGGCCGCUCUUG